GCACGCCGCGGCGAGGAUUUGCGCCAGCACUUGUGGGGUGCCAGGUGUAUGAAGACCGUCGCGCGUGCCGUAGCGCGCAGCGAGCA
Molecule: transfer RNA, 86 nt
Filed under: Pandoraea horticolens
Lineage: Bacteria; Pseudomonadati; Pseudomonadota; Betaproteobacteria; Burkholderiales; Burkholderiaceae
Description: Pandoraea sp. LMG 31112 tRNA-His
Source: RNAcentral